Mustela erminea (ermine) is the source of this 386-nucleotide long non-coding RNA. RefSeq lists it as uncharacterized. Lineage: Eukaryota; Metazoa; Chordata; Mammalia; Carnivora; Mustelidae. The transcript has 3 exons. The record is from RefSeq and is a predicted model, not a curated record.
AGCCUCCUGCCUUAAUAGCGGCUGCGCCUGCGAGGGGGGUCCGGAUGCCCAGUGCUCCGGGGUCGCGGGCCCCAGACCGCUCUCCGGGGUCACCGGGUCAUGGGCCCUGGCGGGCGGCGGCAGCGACAGGGACAUGAGGAUGUGAGUAGAGGAGACAAGGGGUCCAAGUUAGCCCAGAAGCGAGUCCUGGGGCUUUCUCAUGUCUCUCUGGCCACUACCUGAGCCCAGGUUGGAGGAGGUCAUGGGGAUAAAGAGGACAAAAAAAGGAGACGAAAUGGAGCAGCCAGAACAGUAGGAGGAGCACAAUUUUGAGAUGUUCAAGACAGAGAAAAAUUGCACAGGAAAAAAAAUCAUGUCUCUCCUUAUCAAAACCGGUGAAAGUAAAC